GUCUGAUGGUGAAGGGGCGGCAGCACCUCCGGUUACCCAGUCCUGGGCCGAUGGCGCCGGCGCAGCGCUGCCCUCUGUGCCGCCAGACUUUCUUCUGUGGUCGCGGACACGUCUACAGUCGCAAGCACCAGCGGCAGCUGAAGGUGGCUUUGGAGCGGCUCCUGCCCCAGGUGCGGACGGGAGGCCGGAGGGGGCCGCGGACGGCCUGGAGGCGGGGCUGCGGGCCCUGCAGUGAGGGCCCGAGGGGGUGGGAUUUGGGGGUCCUGCUCGGGGUCCUACUUGGCCCCUUGCCGGUUACACGCUGUCCGCCGCAGGUGGAGGCCGCCCGCAAGGCCAUCCGCGCGGCUCAGGUGGAGCGUUACGUGCCCGAGCACGAGCGGUGCUGCUGGUGCCUGUGCUGCAGCUGUGAGGUGCGGAAACACCUGAGCCACGGAAACCUGACCGUGCUGCACGGGGGGCUGCUGGAGCACCUAGCCAGCCCAGAGCACAAGAAAGCAACCAACAGAUUCUGGUGGGAGAACAAGGCUGAGCUCCAGAUGAAAGAGAAGUUUCUCAUCUCCCCACAAGAUUAUGCACGAUUCAAGAAAUCCAUGGUGAAAGGUUUGGAUUCCUAUGAGGAAAAAGAGGAUGAGGUGAUCAGAGAGAUGGCAGCUCAGAUCCGUGAGGUGGAGCAGAGCCGGCAGGAGGUGGUUCAGUCUGUCUUAGAGGUUGGUUUCUCUCGGAGGAGCCAGAGCACCUCAGGCAGUGCCAGACCCAGAAGAGGGCUCUUCGGCACCUGGAAGCUGGAAAGGGACAAACAGACAAGUAGCCUCCACCUCACAGCAGCCCUCAUACUUGGACCUGCCACCAGCCCCACAGCUUGACUGGAUGGAGACAGGACAAUCUCUGACAUUCAUUGGCCAUCAGGAUACACCAGGAGUUGGUAACAUCCACUCAGGUGCCACCCCUCCCUGGAUGGUCCAAGAUGAGGAAUACAGCUCUGGGAACCAACAAAUAGGACCCUCCUAUGAAGAAUUUCUUAAAGAAAGUAAGUAAACUAAUUCAAGAAUAGCAGUGGGUUCCUUAAAUCUUCCUACUCAAAACUGUUCACUUACCAUUGUAGAGGAAAAACAGAAAUUGAAGAAACUCCCCCCAGGCAGAGUUGGGGCCAACUUUGACCACAGCUCUAGCACCGGUGCAGGCUGGCUGCCCUCUUUCGGCCGGGUCUGGAAUAAUGGACGCCGCUGGCAAUCCAGGCAUCAAUUCAAAACUGAAGCUGCAGCAAGGAACAAACAGUCACAUAAAGAAAAAAGGCUAAUGAUUUCCUGAUAUUUUUCCAACCACCAUAAGGCUCAAAGCCAAAUCAAC
Non-coding RNA from Ceratotherium simum simum (southern white rhinoceros), 1347 nucleotides. The record is from RefSeq and is a predicted model, not a curated record. Lineage: Eukaryota; Metazoa; Chordata; Mammalia; Perissodactyla; Rhinocerotidae.